UACGGAUGGUGCGAGCGUUGUUCGGAAUUACUGGGCGUAAAGGGCGCGUAGGCGGCCUAUCAAGUCAGGUGUGAAAGCCCACGGCUCAACCGUGGACGUGCAUCUGAAACUGACAGGCUUGAGUACUGGAGAGGAAAGUGGAAUUCCUGGUGUAGAGGUGAAAUUCGUAGGUAUCAGGAGGAAUACCGGUGGCGAAGGCGACUUUCUGGACAGAUACUGACGCUGAGGCGCGAAAGCGUGGGGAGCAAACAGG
RNAcentral lists this ribosomal RNA (253 nucleotides) under uncultured bacterium. RNAcentral's name for it is "partial 16S ribosomal RNA". It matches the Rfam family "Bacterial small subunit ribosomal RNA", at positions 524 to 776 of the family's 1533-position model. The record is from RNAcentral.